GGACUACUAGGGUAUCUAAUCCUGUUUGCUCCCCUAGCUUUCGCAGCUGAGUGUCAGUAAUGGUCCAGUUACCUGCUUUCGCCAUUGGUGUUCCUCCCGAUCUCUGCGCAUUUCACCGCUACACCGGGAAUUCCAGUAACCUCUCCCAUACUCAAGUCCGAUAGUUUCUGUUGGCCUCUCCCAGUUGAGCCGGGAGCUUUCACAACAGACUUAUCGAACCACCUACCUGCCCUUUACGCCUAGUAAUUCCGAGUAACGCUUGCCACCUUCGUAUUACCGCGGCGGCUGGCAC
RNAcentral lists this ribosomal RNA (292 nucleotides) under uncultured bacterium. RNAcentral describes it as "partial 16S ribosomal RNA". The record is from RNAcentral.